This is a non-coding RNA of Odocoileus virginianus texanus, 840 nucleotides long. NCBI's taxonomy places the organism in Eukaryota, Metazoa, Chordata, Mammalia, Artiodactyla, Cervidae. The record is from RefSeq and is a predicted model, not a curated record.
CUACAUCUAUGUCAUACAUCACUACGUCUGUGAUACGAGUGUCCCUAUAGUUAUGUCAUACGUCACUGCGUCUGUGAUAUGGGCGUCCCCACAGUUACAUCACAGGUCACUACGUCUGUGACACGGGCAUCCCUACAUCUACCUCAUAGUCACUGCAUCUGUGGUAUGGGUGUCCCCCGAUACGUCAUACGUCACUGCAUCUGAUACGGGCAUUCCUACUUCUAUGUCAUUCGUCUGUGUUGAAGCAUUUCGGGGUAAUGAGGAUGCUUACAACUAUCACCAAGAACUGCCUCAUGCCUCCCUCUGAACCACUGCCACGCAGCAGGCCAGAGCACCCAACUAAGGAAACUCGAGACCAUGAGAAGCCACUGGAAGUCUGUGAGCAGGAGAAUGACAUGUAACAUGACCAAAGAACACAAGGAAUCAGGACUGAAACCUAUCAUAAUUCCAGUCCCUUGGACUCGUGUCCCUGCCCCCAAAUGAAACCAUGCCAGCCAUCAGGACCUGCUCCACUGCUUCAAGGGAAGAGGGAAGAGAAGCUGGAAGAGAGGGAUCAGAAAAGUGCCUCCUGCUUCAUCACACACUGAGCCUGAUCAGGUUCUUUGCAAAUCGCCACCGAGAAGUCGCUGCUCUGGGAAGUGCUGCUCUGCCAUCACUCAUGUCCAGAAACCUGGGACGAGUGUAGCUUUAUCAGGGUUCAUCUGGUGCUUAUCACAGUCUUGCUGAUGGCCGUACAUACUCAGAAGACCCUCAAAACCAAGAACUGGCCACCCCCAUGAGAACCACCCCAAAUCCCAGUUUCCACCAAAGGAGAUUAAAGCAAAGAGCUGUUUUUAGGGA